ACCUACUUAAUUCAGUGGUUAGAGUAUUGCUUUCACAUGGCGGGAAAAAUUGGUUCAAAUCCAAUAGUAGGUA
Molecule: transfer RNA, 73 nt
Filed under: Nelumbo nucifera (sacred lotus)
Lineage: Eukaryota; Viridiplantae; Streptophyta; Magnoliopsida; Proteales; Nelumbonaceae
Rfam family: tRNA
About the family: Transfer RNA (tRNA) molecules are approximately 80 nucleotides in length. Their secondary structure includes four short double-helical elements and three loops (D, anti-codon, and T loops). Further hydrogen bonds mediate the characteristic L-shaped molecular structure. tRNAs have two regions of fundamental functional importance: the anti-codon, which is responsible for specific mRNA codon recognition, and the 3' end, to which the tRNAs corresponding amino acid is attached (by aminoacyl-tRNA synthetases). tRNAs cope with the degeneracy of the genetic code in two manners: having more than one tRNA (with a specific anti-codon) for a particular amino acid; and 'wobble' base-pairing, i.e. permitting non-standard base-pairing at the 3rd anti-codon position.
Source: Rfam by way of RNAcentral